UGGGGAAUUUUGCACAAUGGGGGAAACCCUGAUGCAGCGACGCCGCGUGAUUUAGAAGGCCUUCGGGUUGUAAAAAUCUUUUUUACGGGAUGAAAAUGACAGUACCGUAAGAAUAAGGUCCGGCUAAAUACGUGCCAGCAGCCGCGGUAAUACGUAUGGACCGAGCGUUGUCCGGAAUCAUUGGGCGUAAAGGGUACGUAGGCGGCCUAGUAAGUUAGAAGUGAAAUAAUAUAGCUCAACUAUAUAAAGCUUUUAAAACUGCUAGGCUUGAGAGAAGGAAGGGAAAGUGGAGUUCCUAGUGUAGCGGUGAAAUGCGCAGAUAUUAGGAAGAAUACCGGUGGCGAAGGCGACUUUCUGGUCAUCAUCUGACGCUGAGGUACGAAAGCGUGGGUAGCACACAGG
RNAcentral lists this ribosomal RNA (402 nucleotides) under bacterium. RNAcentral's name for it is "partial 16S ribosomal RNA". It matches the Rfam family "Bacterial small subunit ribosomal RNA", at positions 355 to 776 of the family's 1533-position model. The record is from RNAcentral.